GUGACCUCAAAUCAGGUAGGACUACCCGCUGAACUUAAGCAUAUCAAUAAGCGGAGGAAAAGAAACUAACAAGGAUUCCCCUAGUAACUGCGAGUGAAGCGGGAAAAGCUCAAUUUAAAAUCUGGCGGCCUUUUUGCUGUCCGAGUUGUAAUCUAGAGAAGUGUUAUCCGCGCUGGACCGUGUACAAGUCUCCUGGAAUGGAGCAUCAUAGAGGGUGAGAAUCCCGUCUUUGACAUGGAC
This 240-nucleotide ribosomal RNA is filed under the name uncultured Cortinarius. RNAcentral describes it as "partial 28S ribosomal RNA". It matches the Rfam family "Eukaryotic large subunit ribosomal RNA", at positions 1 to 235 of the family's 3401-position model. Lineage: Eukaryota; Fungi; Basidiomycota; Agaricomycetes; Agaricales; Cortinariaceae. The record is from RNAcentral.